GUAACGACAAUUGAAAACAUUGAAAAAGAAGAAGAAAUGUAAAAUUUUGCUGACAGAGAUAGUUACGACCACUCGCCUGCAUACCAAGAUAUUCAUCAUACAGAGGCACAAGAUACUAGUAACAAGAGGGUCCCAGCUGAAGGGAAUGAAGGUCCAAUAUCAUUUGCUGUUCAGUCUAAGCCUAAGCUUCAAUGUAAAGGUUUGGUCCACUGACUGCUGACGGUUGAAGACGGUUGAAGAAAAUUCAGUGACAUACCUCUGGUGGGAAUAGCCCCACCCCCUUUGAUAGCACAGUACAGGAGAUCACAAUUUUGUGAGACUGUCUCGAUUUAACAAGUGAAGGGCAGCUCUUUUGCAAGCCAUGAAAAUUUCUAUGUAUAUUUGA
Molecule: long non-coding RNA, 385 nt
Organism: Lingula anatina
Lineage: Eukaryota; Metazoa; Brachiopoda; Lingulata; Lingulida; Lingulidae
Source: RefSeq, a predicted model, not a curated record